This 492-nucleotide ribosomal RNA is filed under the name uncultured bacterium. RNAcentral's name for it is "partial 16S ribosomal RNA". It matches the Rfam family "Bacterial small subunit ribosomal RNA", at positions 29 to 507 of the family's 1533-position model. The record is from RNAcentral.
AGUGAACGCUGGCGGUAGGCCUAACACAUGCAAGUCGAACGGCAGCACAGUAAGAGCUUGCUCUUACGGGUGGCGAGUGGCGGACGAGUGAGGAAUACAUCGGAAUCUACUUUUUCGUGGGGGAUAACGUAGGGAAACUUACGCUAAUACCGCAUACGACCUACGGGUGAAAGCAGGGGAUCUUCGGACCUUGCGCGAUUGAAUGAGCCGAUGUCGGAUUAGCUAGUUGGCGGGGUAAAGGCCCACCAAGGCGACGAUCCGUAGCUGGUCUGAGAGGAUGAUCCGCCACCCUGGAACUGAGACACGGUCCAGACUCCUACGGGAGGCAGCAGUGGGGAAUAUUGGACAAUGGGCGCAAGCCUGAUCCAGCCAUACCGCGUGGGUGAAGAAGGCCUUCGGGUUGUAAAGCCCUUUUGUUGGGAAAGAAAAGCAGCAGGUUAAUACCCCGCUGUUCUGACGGUACCCAAAGAAUAAGCACCGGCUAACUUCGUG